This 79-nucleotide ribosomal RNA is filed under the name Streptococcus pneumoniae. The record is from RNAcentral. Lineage: Bacteria; Bacillati; Bacillota; Bacilli; Lactobacillales; Streptococcaceae.
UGGUAAUGAUGGCAGAGAGGUCACACCCGUUCCCAUACCGAACACGGAAGUUAAGCUCUCUAGCGCCGAUGGUAGUUGG